AGUGAACGCUGGCGGUAGGCCUAACACAUGCAAGUCGAACGGCAGCACAGUAAGAGCUUGCUCUUACGGGUGGCGAGUGGCGGACGGGUGAGGAAUACAUCGGAAUCUACUUUUUCGUGGGGGAUAACGUAGGGAAACUUACGCUAAUACCGCAUACGACCUACGGGUGAAAGCAGGGGAUCUUCGGACCUUGCGCGAUUGAAUGAGCCGAUGUCGGAUUAGCUAGUUGGCGGGGUAAAGGCCCACCAAGGCGACGAUCCGUAGCUGGUCUGAGAGGAUGAUCAGCCGCACUGGAACUGGGACACGGUCCAGACUCCUACGGGAGGCAGCAGUGGGGAAUAUUGGACAAUGGGCGCAAGCCUGAUCCAGCCAUACCGCGUGGGUGAAGAAGGCCUUCGGGUUGUAAAGCCCUUUUGUUGGGAAAGAAAAGCAGCAGGUUAAUACCCCGCUGUUCUGACGGUACCCAAAGAAUAAGCACCGGCUAACUUCGUG
Molecule: ribosomal RNA, 492 nt
Filed under: uncultured bacterium
Lineage: Bacteria
Description: partial 16S ribosomal RNA
Rfam family: Bacterial small subunit ribosomal RNA
Source: RNAcentral